RNAcentral lists this ribosomal RNA (253 nucleotides) under uncultured bacterium. RNAcentral describes it as "partial 16S ribosomal RNA". It matches the Rfam family "Bacterial small subunit ribosomal RNA", at positions 524 to 776 of the family's 1533-position model. The record is from RNAcentral.
CACGGGGGGAGCAAGCGUUGUUCGGAUUCAUUGGGCGUAAAGGGCUCGUAGGUGGCUUUGUAAGUCGGAGGUGAAAUCCCACGGCUCAACCGUGGACACGCCUUCGAAACUGUGAAGCUUGAGGCUGGGAGAGGAGAUCGGAAUUCCUGGUGUAGCGGUGAAAUGCGUAGAUAUCAGGAGGAACACCUGAGGCGAAGGCGGGCUACUGGGCCGAUACUGACGCUGAUGCGCGAAAGCCAGGGGAGCGAACGGG